GAGGGGGAAGAAUCACCUCCAAGCCACAUGGCAGCCUGCACCUUCAUCUGGCUUUGGCAGAAUCCCAGCAGUACGAUCUGAAUGGUUCCAUAAUUACAACCACAACACAUUUUUCAACCCCUACAGGCUGCUCGCUUUUCUGCACUGGUCACAAACAUCAUUUUGGAAGCCAUAAUGAAAACAUACUGCAAAAUGGGGAAAAUUAUAACAUAGGAGGUAAGAAGUUUGUAAGAACCAGAGGCAAAGCUGCUUCUUGCAGGAAUGUGAAAGGUGGGUUUUUUUGAAUGACUCCUUUAAAUCUAGGUGAAAUGGCUGUCAGCUCCCAGGUCACAUGCUCAACACAAACAUAAUUUCAUGUUAUAAAGUUAUAAUACCGGCCUCUUUUGGAGCCAGACGUAAUCAGCAAAAUGCAGCAUGAGGCUUAUCACACAACCUGACAGAUACUUGAAGCAUUGCUGUCUUGCGUUUUCAGAAUGGUCUCCUGGAGGCUUUUCUACAUAAAUAGAACCAACCUAACCAAAAAUGUAUUUUAAAAAUAAGUUUGAACCCUGCUUUUUCAUUAACUUGGUUUUUUUUAAUAAACAAUACUAAAAUCUGUGUGAAAAGGUAGGAAGAAAUUUUUGGUUUGAAAGUAUUUUAGGUUGUACUUCCCUUUGGUAAGGCUACCUCAAUUUUUUUACCAUUCAGGAUAAAGUCUAAGCACCCAUAGGUAUAUAGAAAGUUCUGACUGUCUUUACAGUUAUUAGAGGGUUGUCUGUGUGUAUAGUUAUUUUUACACAAUUUGCUAUUUCAAAAGAAGUUGCCUGUAAAUCCAGUUAGGUGGGGCAAACAAUUCUGUUGGUCUGUGGUGACUCAUUUAUGAGAGAAACAACUCAGAUUCUGUGAAAGACAUUGUUUUUUGGUAUGGACACUGAUUAUGUUUAAAUCAUGUUUGACAAGGACUUCUACGAGCACUCAGAAUCUCACCCUGUUGCCAGAUUCAGCACAAGGCAUCCUAUGAAUCCUUGUUGGCAAUUCUUUUCAGGCUACCUACAGAUCUCAUUUAUUCUGUGGCCUUGAUAUUGCUUAGGAUGACUAGGAUUACUUAGAAUGAGGAUGCAUUCUUGGUUGUGUUUUAUGCCUGAUGGUUUUCAUUGAUUUUAGUCUGUAAUUUGUGGCAGCCCAGCAGCUGCUUCAUCAGCUAGCCUCAUAAUGGAGGCAGAAAUGUCUGAACUAGGGGCACACAUCCAGCUGUGAACAGCAUCUUUCUUCUGUAGCCACCCCAAUGUAACCUGCUGGAACCAGAGCACCAAGAGAAACAAGAUAAAUGGCUAUUGUACUUUAAAUUCACACCUGGGUUGUUCGUUUUGUGACAGCUUCUUCAUGCAGAUGACAGGAAUGGACCCUGGCCAGUUUUCGUUUGCUGAAGGAAUGUUUUGCUCCUGGGGAGUGAAUGGGUCUGCCUCCAUUAGCAGUUAAGAGCACAACAUAAAUGUUUCUGUGAUGUGAAUUGCUCUUGCCUGUGAAUCGUUUACGUUUGAUGUUCUUUAAGUUUUAUCACUUAAAGCCUUUGGAAGACAGGACCUAGAUUUCUUCCUGUAGAAGCUUAGCUGGAAAUUGCAUACUAGGGAUUUUUCUAACACACCCCAAAGGUAAUAGGAACAUGUAAUCUUUGGGCUGUUGAGAAAGAAUACAGAGGCUGAUCCUGUUAUUAUUUUGAAUUGUACUCCAGCAUCAAUUCUUCCUUUAUCCUGAAUAAGAGAAAUACCAACACAAAGGUGAACUUUUAAAGCUCUUCAUUGCUGAGACUUCUAUAGAAGUGCUAGGAUUUCCUUUUUUUAAUCUGAGCAACUUGAUGAGACUUUUAAAACUGUAAAGAGAGGGACUUUCCAAAAUGCCUGUGUUGUUGGUAUGGUGUAAGAGCCUUCCAAAAGUGUUGGCUAAUCCUCAGUGAGUCAUGUUUUUCAUGGAAUUCUGUUUUAAAUAAAUUAUCUUGUACACUU
This is a long non-coding RNA of Neopsephotus bourkii (Bourke's parrot), 1982 nucleotides long. RefSeq lists it as uncharacterized. The record is from RefSeq and is a predicted model, not a curated record. The transcript has 2 exons. NCBI's taxonomy places the organism in Eukaryota, Metazoa, Chordata, Aves, Psittaciformes, Psittacidae.